Long non-coding RNA from Cyprinus carpio carpio, 1511 nucleotides. Lineage: Eukaryota; Metazoa; Chordata; Actinopteri; Cypriniformes; Cyprinidae. The record is from Ensembl.
AUGUAUCAGAUUUCACAAGAUUUCUGUAUCCUGUAUCCUGAUGCAGCGAGGAAACUGUUUGAAAACUGGACCACGAUAAGUGAAAGAAUUCUUCCAUAUGCCCAGCAAGAGGGUAAACUGCCCUCAGUACUGGGUGACAUGACACCAGCUGCUAAAGAGGAGACAGCUUUGAAGGUCCUGCCAACUCUGCUUCCCCCAUCCAUCUACAGGAGAGGAGGAAAGGUCUUCAGACCCACCACAGAGGAGGCCCAGAAGUCAUUUAUUGACAUGCAACCUGUUGGGACCAACAUGGUUGAAUAUUUAAACCAUGAGAUGACUGGAGCAUUGCUGCACAUUCUUGCCUCAGUGAUGAGACAAGGGGGACAUCACAGACCUUUGCCAUUAUUCCAGGCCACGCCAUUGAGACUGUGUCUUUGUUGGAGGCGGUUGAUCUUUGCUUUAAAGCUUUUUUUGUUUUUGAUGUUCAGUACACCAAGCAGUGUCUCCCCACCUGGGAGUUUCUCCAGCAUGCUGUAUAUCAAAUUGAAGGAAAAGAGUCCUCCUCUGUAAAGUUUUUGAGGACAACAGUGGUUUCAGGCCCACAUGAUAUGUAGAUGAUUUUAAAAUGUAUUUUGUUGCUGUUCUUAAAUCAACACAUCUUAAUAAAUUAAAUUGUAAUCGUAUGAGAGUUCAAAUUAGUUGUUUAAUGACUUUUAAUGCCUGAAUAUUUGGACAGAUUUACAUUUGUUAUAAAGUCUGUGGGGAAGGGUGAAUGUCAGAGGGUGUGUGGGUGGGGGUUGGAAUGGGGGGGUAAAGAAUGUAUUCAAUAUUGUAUACAAACAAAGUAUUAAAGAAAUGUAUUGUUUUUAAAGAAAUAAUAUGUUUUAAAUGAGAUUGAAAUCACAUAUACAUGGCCUCUCUGGUUUAUUGUAUUACAGAGACAAUAAUUAUUUUACAUUCGUAAUAUAAAAUAUAUUUGUAACUAAUGUAUAAAGGCAGUGAGACAGGAAAUAAUCUAUUUAUUAUUAAAUAAUAACUAUUUAUUUGACUAAACUAUUUGUUUGACUUAACCCAGCAAGAGGGUUAAUUUUACCCACUGGUUGGGUCAAAUGAAUGACCCAGUAAUAUGGGUUAAACGGUAAAACCCAGCACUUGGGUCAAACCAACCCAGCGCGUGUUCUGUCCAAUAGUGACCCAGCAGCGUGGUUAAGGUUGGGUUAUUUUUUAACCCAGCAGUUUUUAGAAUGUAUUGUUUGGAUUAACUAGCCGAGUAGACAGAUAUGAAUGUUUAUUCAUAACCAUACUGGAAAUAAGUAAAUAUUGUUAGCUGAUGCUAACUGUCUAGCUAACAAGCUUGCUGGUGCUAAGUUGAGGUUAUUUUUAGAUAUAAAGCCCAAAUAUAUUUAUUCAGUCAUCUAGACAGAUUACAUCUGGGGGGAAAAGAAAGCAUGUGAUGUUCAGAACAUGGUAACUACAGUAAUUAUCAAAGUGGGAAGUGAUGUCCUCUGGGAGCAUUUGGCCAGAGCUGUUUU